This 65-nucleotide transfer RNA is filed under the name Echinostomatidae sp. CA-2021. RNAcentral describes it as "tRNA-Val". It matches the Rfam family "tRNA". Rfam says of the family: Transfer RNA (tRNA) molecules are approximately 80 nucleotides in length. Their secondary structure includes four short double-helical elements and three loops (D, anti-codon, and T loops). Further hydrogen bonds mediate the characteristic L-shaped molecular structure. tRNAs have two regions of fundamental functional importance: the anti-codon, which is responsible for specific mRNA codon recognition, and the 3' end, to which the tRNAs corresponding amino acid is attached (by aminoacyl-tRNA synthetases). tRNAs cope with the degeneracy of the genetic code in two manners: having more than one tRNA (with a specific anti-codon) for a particular amino acid; and 'wobble' base-pairing, i.e. permitting non-standard base-pairing at the 3rd anti-codon position. Lineage: Eukaryota; Metazoa; Platyhelminthes; Trematoda; Plagiorchiida; Echinostomatidae. The record is from RNAcentral.
GGUAACGUAGUUUAAGUUAAAAUUCCUAUCUUACACGUAGGAGAUGGAUUUGUGUUCUGUUAUCA